This 73-nucleotide transfer RNA is filed under the name Sphaerodactylus townsendi. RNAcentral's name for it is "tRNA-Ala". The record is from RNAcentral. Lineage: Eukaryota; Metazoa; Chordata; Lepidosauria; Squamata; Sphaerodactylidae.
GGGGAUUGUGGCUUAGUGGCAGAACAUCCACAUGGCAUGCAGAAGGUCCCAGAUUCGAACCCUGGCAUCUCCA